AGGAGGAACAACCCCAGUGGCGGCGGCCAGUCUGGAGCCCUGGAUUCAGCUCCCGCAGUAACUACGGAGCUCUCUGUCUGCAGGGCCUGGAGGCUCCGGGGCGGG
RNAcentral lists this microRNA precursor (105 nucleotides) under Canis lupus familiaris (dog). Its description in RNAcentral is "mir-8834 microRNA precursor family". It matches the Rfam family "mir-8834 microRNA precursor family". The record is from Rfam by way of RNAcentral. RNAcentral also lists the same sequence under 1 other name. Lineage: Eukaryota; Metazoa; Chordata; Mammalia; Carnivora; Canidae.